UAACACAUGCAAGUCGAGCGGCAGCGACAACAUUGACCCUUCGGGGGAUUUGUUGGGCGGCGAGCGGCGGACGGGUGAGUAAUGCCUGGGAACAUGCCUUAGUGUGGGGGAUAACCAUUGGAAACGAUGGCUAAUACCGCAUAAUCUCUACGGAGCAAAGAGGGGGACCUUCGGGCCUCUCGCGCUAAGAUUGGCCCAGGUGGGAUUAGCUAGUAGGUGGGGUAACGGCUCACCUAGGCGACGAUCCCUAGCUGGUCUGAGAGGAUGAUCAGCCACACUGGAACUGAGACACGGUCCAGACUCCUACGGGAGGCAGCAGUGGGGAAUAUUGCACAAUGGGGGAAACCCUGAUGCAGCCAUGCCGCGUGUGUGAAGAAGGCCUUCGGGUUGUAAAGCACUUUCAGCAGUGAGGAAGGCGGUAUCGUUAAUAGCGGUAUCGUUUGACGUUAGCUGCAGAAGAAGCACCGGCUAACUCCGUGCCA
This 482-nucleotide ribosomal RNA is filed under the name marine sediment bacterium ISA-7290. RNAcentral's name for it is "bacterial SSU rRNA". It matches the Rfam family "Bacterial small subunit ribosomal RNA", at positions 49 to 510 of the family's 1533-position model. The record is from RNAcentral.